CGAUCACGUGAUUUAUGGACGCUCCCUAAUGUCGUUGUGCAGCAUAUGACGAUUUUGCUAAAAAUCGUUCUGCAAUCAACAAAUUUCUUGAAAUUGCCACACUACUACUCGCAAAUCCCACGUAAUAUACAAGUUAAUAUUAUACAAAGUUGAUGUUGUUUGUUUACCAACAGAUUACACAUACGUUUGCAGUUUUGCAAUAGAAGGACUGGUGUCUUCCUCUCCUCUCCCGUCUUAACAGAGUUUAAAUUUAGCAAAAUCAUUGUGACAAAUUAGUAAUUUGCGUCAAUUCACGUUCUAGUCAGCAACUAAAUACGUUCACUCCCAUUAUCUAAGAGUACUUAAGGAGAGUCUGAACAUAGUCGUUAAUAGAGUUUAAAAAUCAAGACAAAGUUCCACUAA
Long non-coding RNA from Folsomia candida, 402 nucleotides. RefSeq lists it as uncharacterized. The record is from RefSeq and is a predicted model, not a curated record. The transcript is spliced from 2 exons. NCBI's taxonomy places the organism in Eukaryota, Metazoa, Arthropoda, Collembola, Entomobryomorpha, Isotomidae.